This is an RNA transcript of Nannospalax galili (Upper Galilee mountains blind mole rat), 710 nucleotides long. It is a transcript of the gene named dnaJ homolog subfamily B member 6-like, with no coding region annotated. The record is from RefSeq and is a predicted model, not a curated record. The transcript has a single exon. Lineage: Eukaryota; Metazoa; Chordata; Mammalia; Rodentia; Spalacidae.
AUGGUGGAUUACUAUGAAGUUCUGGGCGUGCAGAGAUACGCCUCACCCGAGGCUAUCCAAAAAGGCAUACUGGAAGCAGGCACUCAAGUAGCACCCAGAUAAAAAUCCUGAAAAUAAAGAAGUGGAGGGAAAGUUCAAACAAGUGUCUGAGGCCUACAAGAAGCGGGACAUCUAUGACAAAUAUGGCAAAGAAGGAUUAGAUGGAGGAGGAAGAGGUGGUGGAAGCCACUUGGACAGUCCGUUUGAGUUUGGCUUUGUAUUCCGAAGCCCAGAUGAUGUCUUCAGGGAAUCGUUUGGUGGCUGGGACUCAUUUUCUUUCGACUUCUUUGAAGACCCAUUCAAUGAUUUUUUUGGUAACUGAAGGGGUCCCCCGAGGAAGCAGAAACCGAGGCACGGGCUCCUUUUUUCUCCCUCCUUCAGUGGAUUUCCAUCAUUUGGAGGUGGAUGUUCUUCAUUUGAUAUAGGAUUCACUUCCUGCGGAUUACUGGGUCACAGGGGAUGUACUUCCUUCUCGUCAGCAUCAUUUGGUGGCAGUAGGAUGGGCAAUUUCAAUUCAAUAUCAAGUUCUACUAAAAUAGUUAAUGGCAGAAAAAUCACUACAGAAAGAAUUGUGGAGAAUGGUCAGGAGAGAGUAGAAGUUGAGGAAGAAGGCCAGUUAGUCCUUGACUAUAAGUGGUAAGGAGCAGCUGCUAUGCUUGGAUAAUAAGUAA